AUUUAAUGUAAAUUAUUUGCUUAGGGAUUAUUAGAUAUGGUCUUUAAACUUAAAGGACUUGGCGGUAGAUUAAUUUGUCUAGAGGAACUUGUUAUGUAAUAGAUAGUACUCAUUUUAUCUAACCUUAAGUGGUUCUAUGUAUAUCGCCGUUUUGAAAAUUCUUUGAGGAUUGAAAUUUUCUUUUUGGUAGGGACAUUAAAAUCAGGUCAAGGUGCAGGGUAUUUUAGGGGGUUAAAUGAGUUACAAUCAAAAUUUAUAUUGUUUGGAUUUGUUAGUGAAAUUUUUAAUUGAAAUUGGAUUUGGAAGUAAUUUUUAAUUAGAAAGUAGAUUUGAAUUUAACUCUAAUUUA
RNAcentral lists this ribosomal RNA (349 nucleotides) under Ascorhynchus sp. JA-2009. Its description in RNAcentral is "partial 12S ribosomal RNA". The record is from RNAcentral. Lineage: Eukaryota; Metazoa; Arthropoda; Pycnogonida; Pantopoda; Ammotheidae.